CAGGCUUAACACAUGCAAGUCGAGGGGCAGCAUGGUCUUAGCUUGCUAAGGCCGAUGGCGACCGGCGCACGGGUGAGUAACACGUAUCCAACCUGCCGUCUACUCUUGGACAGCCUUCUGAAAGGAAGAUUAAUACAAGAUGGCAUCAUGAGUCCGCAUGUUCACAUGAUUAAAGGUAUUCCGGUAGACGAUGGGGAUGCGUUCCAUUAGAUAGUAGGCGGGGUAACGGCCCACCUAGUCUUCGAUGGAUAGGGGUUCUGAGAGGAAGGUCCCCCACAUUGGAACUGAGACACGGUCCAAACUCCUACGGGAGGCAGCAGUGAGGAAUAUUGGUCAAUGGGCGAGAGCCUGAACCAGCCAAGUAGCGUGAAGGAUGACUGCCCUAUGGGUUGUAAACUUCUUUUAUAAAGGAAUAAAGUCGGGUAUGGAUACCCGUUUGCAUGUACUUUAUGAAUAAGGAUCGGCUAACUCCGUGCCAGCAGCCGCGGUAAUACGGAGGAUCCGAGCGUUAUCCGGAUUUAUUGGGUUUAAAGGGAGCGUAGAUGGAUGUUUAAGUCAGUUGUGAAAGUUUGCGGCUCAACCGUAAAAUUGCAGUUGAUACUGGAUAUCUUGAGUGCAGUUGAGGCAGGCGGAAUUCGUGGUGUAGCGGUGAAAUGCUUAGAUAUCACGAAGAACUCCGAUUGCGAAGGCAGCCUGCUAAGCUGCAACUGACAUUGAGGCUCGAAAGUGUGGGUAUCAAACAGGAUUAGAUACCCUGGUAGUCCACACGGUAAACGAUGAAUACUCGCUGUUUGCGAUAUACUGCAAGCGGCCAAGCGAAAGCGUUAAGUAUUCCACCUGGGGAGUACGCCGGCAACGGUGAAACUCCAAGGAAUUGACGGGGGCCCGCACAAGCGGAGGAACAUGUGGUUUAAUUCGAUGAUACGCGAGGAACCUUACCCGGGCUUAAAUUGCAGAUGAAUUACGGUGAAAGCCGUAAGCCGCAAGGCAUCUGUGAAGGUGCUGCAUGGUUGUCGUCAGCUCGUGCCGUGAGGUGUCGGCUUAAGUGCCAUAACGAGCGCAACCCUUGUUGUCAGUUACUAACAGGUUCCGCUGAGGACUCUGACAAGACUGCCAUCGUAAGAUGUGAGGAAGGUGGGGAUGACGUCAAAUCAGCACGGCCCUUACGUCCGGGGCUACACACGUGUUACAAUGGGGGGUACAGAGGGCCGCUACCACGCGAGUGGAUGCCAAUCCCCAAAACCUCUCUCAGUUCGGACUGGAGUCUGCAACCCGACUCCACGAAGCUGGAUUCGCUAGUAAUCGCGCAUCAGCCACGGCGCGGUGAAUACGUUCCCGGGCCUUGUACACACCGCCCGUCAAGCCAUGGGAGCCGGGGGUACCUGAAGUGCGUAACCGCGAGGAGCGCCCUAGGGUAAAACUGGUGACUGGGGC
This 1434-nucleotide ribosomal RNA is filed under the name uncultured organism. Its description in RNAcentral is "16S ribosomal RNA". It matches the Rfam family "Bacterial small subunit ribosomal RNA". The record is from RNAcentral.